AAUACAAGGCAGGUAACAGCUGCCCGAUAUGCGAAUGGUUACAACGCGAGCCGCGCAGGGUUCGACCAAGGUCGCAGACCACGAGCGAGUGAAUGGCAUUUUAACGACAGCCCGGUAGUCGAAAUUUCUUCAAAGCGACAACUACUUACAGAAGCGCUUGAAACCGCUACGGGCGAUGUUGACAGCCAAUGCAGAAUAUGCAAAAGCGCAAGAAAUUGAACCCAUGAAUCUAGCAAAUCCUGGGCCUAUUAUUGGCAAACCCUUGUGGGACGGCAAGUGUAGCGUGAUAGACCGACACACAUGACAGCCCAAAUGCCCUCAAACAGCGCGAAGUGUUUCCAGGCGCCCCGCUAUAGCGCAUUGCCGGUGACAGAAAAGUAACCGAUCACUGUCGGGUAGCAGAUUCAGCCGUCUAUUAAAGCAAAAACCCCGCCGGUUCACCCGGCGGGG
Molecule: small RNA, 450 nt
Filed under: Pseudomonas sp. URIL14HWK12:I3
Lineage: Bacteria; Pseudomonadati; Pseudomonadota; Gammaproteobacteria; Pseudomonadales; Pseudomonadaceae
Also listed under: 1 other name
Description: Pseudomonas sRNA P6
Source: RNAcentral